RNAcentral lists this ribosomal RNA (411 nucleotides) under uncultured bacterium. Its description in RNAcentral is "bacterial SSU rRNA". It matches the Rfam family "Bacterial small subunit ribosomal RNA", at positions 64 to 507 of the family's 1533-position model. The record is from RNAcentral.
GAACGAGAAAGUGGAGCAAUCCAUGAGUAAAGUGGCGACCGGGUGAGUAACACGUGACUAACCUGCCUUCGAGUGGGGGAUAACCUCGGGAAACCGAGGCUAAUACCGCAUAACAUCGCAAGAUCAAAGCAGCAAUGCGCUUGAAGAGGGGGUCGCGGCUGAUUAGUUAGUUGGCGGGGUAACGGCCCACCAAGGCGAAGAUCGGUAUCCGGCCUGAGAGGGCGCACGGACACACUGGAACUGAAACACGGUCCAGACUCCUACGGGAGGCAGCAGUGGGGAAUUUUGCGCAAUGGGGGAAACCCUGACGCAGCAACGCCGCGUGGAGGAUGAAGCCCCUUGGGGCGUAAACUCCUUUCGACCAAGACGAUAAUGACGGUACUGGUGGAAGAAGCACCGGCUAACUCUGUG